AGUGAACGCUGGCGGUAGGCCUAACACAUGCAAGUCGAACGGCAGCACAGUAAGAGCUUGCUCUUACGGGUGGCGAGUGGCGGACGGGUGAGGAAUACAUCGGAAUCUACUUUUUCGUGGGGGAUAACGUAGGGAAACUUACGCUAAUACCGCAUACGACCUACGGGUGAAAGCAGGGGAUCUUCGGACCUUGCGCGAUUGAAUGAGCCGAUGUCGGAUUAGCUAGUUGGGGGGGUAAAGGCCCACCAAGGCGACGAUCCGUAGCUGGUCUGAGAGGAUGAUCAGCCACACUGGAACGGAGACACGGUCCAGACUCCUACGGGAGGCAGCAGUGGGGAAUAUUGGACAAAGGGCGCAAGCCUGAUCCAGCCAUACCGCGUGGGUGAAGAAGGCCUUCGGGUUGUAAAGCCCUUUUGUUGGGAAAGAAAAGCAGCAGGUUAAUACCCCGCUGUUCUGACGGUACCCAAAGAAUAAGCACCGGCUAACUUCGUG
RNAcentral lists this ribosomal RNA (492 nucleotides) under uncultured bacterium. Its description in RNAcentral is "partial 16S ribosomal RNA". It matches the Rfam family "Bacterial small subunit ribosomal RNA", at positions 29 to 507 of the family's 1533-position model. The record is from RNAcentral.